This 253-nucleotide ribosomal RNA is filed under the name uncultured bacterium. RNAcentral describes it as "partial 16S ribosomal RNA". It matches the Rfam family "Bacterial small subunit ribosomal RNA", at positions 524 to 776 of the family's 1533-position model. The record is from RNAcentral.
UACGUAGGGGGCAAGCGUUGUCCGGAUUUAUUGGGCGUAAAGAGCGUGUAGGCGGCCAUACAGGUCAGCUGUGAAAACUCGAGGCUCAACCUCGAGACGUCGGUUGAAACCGUAUGGCUAGAGUCCGGAAGAGGAGAGUGGAAUUCCCGGUGUAGCGGUGAAAUGCGCAGAUAUCGGGAAGAACACCUAUGGCGAAAGCGGCUCACUGGACCACAACUGACGCUGAGGCGCGAAAGCUAGGGGAGCAAACAGG